Non-coding RNA from Sus scrofa (pig), 397 nucleotides. NCBI's taxonomy places the organism in Eukaryota, Metazoa, Chordata, Mammalia, Artiodactyla, Suidae. The record is from RefSeq and is a predicted model, not a curated record.
UUAAUCUGCCUUCAGUUGAGAGGUUUCUGGUUGCAACAUCUUCUGGGCUGUUUGAAACAGAGCAUGCUCCAUUGACAGCUGCCUCUGGAAGGAGUUGAAAUCUCUCUGAACCUUCCAGGACUUGAAGACAGACCCCCCCAAAGACUUCACAGAUCAGGCAAUUCCAAUGUGGCCUUUAGCAGCAGCAUGCUGGAUGCUUCUUCUUGGAACUACUAUGGUUAUCAUAAGAAAGGAAGGACCACAAUCCUGAAGCUAAUAUGAAUAUAGCCAGAUUAUUUCUUACUGGGGCUACCCUUCUGAAAAGUAUGAUGUUGUGACAAAAGAUGGUUAUGUCUUGGGAAUUUAAGAAUCCUUAUGGAAGAGAAUGUCCAAGAACAGGUAGGAUUUAUUCCAUUAU